GCCUCCCGGCCUUCGUCAUUUCGGGGGCUGUCGACUGACCCAGCAGGCCAGCAUUUCUUCGUCUUCUCGUUCACGCAAUCACGCCCCCGCCAAACCCAAACCGACCGAAAGCGGAAAGCAAAUAGCAGACGGCAGACAACAGUCGAGGGGACACAGGAAGGCGCGAAGAAGACCGAGAUCCUCGCCCAACGCCAUCACGCCACUCCCCCAAUACUCAGGUGUCAGGACAGCGAGCAGGCACAAGCAGAUCUCACUCCACGUUGCUCCUUCCGCCCUUCCUCUCCGCCGCUCCCCGGAAGGAUCAUGGAGCGCGGGAUUCUUGGCUCCAGGGGCGCCGUCCAAAUCUUGGGGUCGAAGACCGGGGCCGCGAUGUCAUGUGGCAAAACAACCUCUACAAGUUUUACUUGUUCUACCAAACACGAGCUGAACUUGCAUGUGAAUGUUAAGCCGUUGCAAUUGGCAACAGAUGGAUCCUCUCGUUUGGCAUACAAAACUCCAGUGCUUAAAAAUCAGUGGAAUCUUUCUGCUAGUUCUUCCUCUGCAAAUGUGGUUACCACUUUUGAUGAUGACAAAGGUGUACCUUCCAGUUUUGCUGAAGAAAAGAUCGGAGUACUGUUAUUAAAUCUUGGUGGUCCAGAAACCCUAGACGAUGUUCAACCAUUCUUGUUCAACCUAUUUGCUGAUCCAGAUAUCAUUCGACUGCCUAGGCUCUUCAGGUUCCUUCAAAGACCACUGGCCAAACUUAUUUCUACUUUUAGAGCUCCUAAGAGUAAAGAAGGGUAUGCUUCAAUCGGUGGUGGGUCACCAUUGAGGAAAAUUACUGAUGAGCAGGCAAAUGCUUUGAAGAUUGCUCUGGAAAAGAAAAAAUUGAACGCAAAUAUAUAUGUUGGGAUGCGGUAUUGGUAUCCUUUCACAGAAGAAGCCAUUGAUCAGAUUAAGAAGGAUAAUAUUUCCAAGCUCGUUGUUCUUCCACUCUACCCUCAGUACUCCAUAUCAACAAGUGGGUCAAGCAUUCGUGUUCUCCAAAAUGUUGUCAAGGAAGAUUCAUAUUUUUCUGGCUUGCCAAUCUCCAUUAUCGAAUCAUGGUACCAACGUGAUGGCUAUGUGAAAUCAAUGGCUGACCUAAUUGAAAAAGAGCUAUCUGCCUUUUCCAAUCCUGAAGAGGUAAUGAUAUUCUUCAGUGCACAUGGUGUGCCACUUACCUAUGUUCAGGAUGCUGGAGAUCCUUACAGAGAUCAGAUGGAGGAUUGUAUUUCUUUGAUCAUGGGGGAGCUGAGAUCCAGAGGAAUCUUAAAUGGUCACACUUUGGCGUAUCAGAGUCGGGUGGGACCAGUUCAAUGGCUGAAGCCAUAUACUGAUGAAGUUUUAGUAGAACUUGGUCAGAACGGUGUGAAGAGCCUCCUGGCUGUUCCAGUAAGCUUCGUGAGCGAGCACAUUGAGACACUGGAAGAAAUAGACAUGGAGUACAAGGAGUUGGCUCUGGAAUCAGGCAUUGAGAACUGGGGCCGGGUCCCUGCUCUUGGAUGCACUUCGACUUUCAUCUCCGACCUUGCAGAUGCGGUUGUCGAAGCCCUCCCAUCUGCCUCGGCGCUGGGAACCAGAAAGCCUGAAGACACCGAUUCCAGCAUGGAUCUGAUGCAUUACCUGACCAAGAUGUUCUUCGGCUCAAUCUUGGCAUUUAUCCUGCUGUUGUCACCAAGACUGGUUUCUGCUUUCCGGAACACCAUGCUUUAGGUGGUUAGGUAGGUAAGCAAAAAGGGAAUGGUGUGAUAGGUAAUUCUUAAAAAUUUGAGAUUAAUAAUGGAAAAACUGGAGAGAGCUUGGUGAUAGUAACUAGAGAUCCUUUAGGCUUUGUUUGGGUACUCUAGUAUUGACCCUAAUCCGUGUGUUGAGAUAGAUUGAGGUGUAAAUUAGUUUAAGUUAUACCUCAAUUCAGCUCAGUACAUAUAGAUUGAGCUCAAUACUAGAAUACUCAAACUAGGCCUUAGUGCACGAGGUAGCAGCUUGUAAUUUGCUGUUUUUGAUAUUGUUCACAGGAAACAUUGGUCUCAUAAAUGAAUCUGUGAAAGCACAUAACGUUACAAAUCAAAGGUGAUGUAAUGUUGACCCUUGAGGGCUUUUUCGGUUUCAUCAAAUCUAUAUAGAUCGGAGGAAAUUAGGCAUAGGAAUAACCGGACAUGACUGAGGUGGUGUUUGGUUCUACAAUCUACGGCGGCAGCGAGCAACGGGAACGGAAUCAUUACCACGCCUUCUAAUUUAUUCUGUUUGAUCCACGCCUGGCAAUCGAAAGACAGCUUUGUUUUCCACGCGGACGGUAGCGUGAGCGUAAUCGGCGCGCUGGGCGGCCCUAUUUAUUCCCGUAAUUUUCCUAUUGAACAGUCGUCUAAAUCUAGACACGUUUGUUUAGGCGACGUGUGGUUCAACCAUUAUUUUUUUAAACUGAUAUUUCUCUA
RNA transcript from Zea mays, 2453 nucleotides. RefSeq lists it as uncharacterized. The record is from RefSeq and is marked provisional. The transcript has 12 exons. Lineage: Eukaryota; Viridiplantae; Streptophyta; Magnoliopsida; Poales; Poaceae.